GGUUAAGCGACUAAGCGUACACGGUGGAUGCCCUGGCAGUCAGAGGCGAUGAAGGACGUGCUAAUCUGCGAAAAGCGUCGGUAAGGUGAUAUGAACCGUUAUAGCCGGCGAUGUCCGAAUGGGGAAACCCAGUGCAAUUCGUUGCACUAUCGUUAACUGAAUACAUAGGUUAACGAGGCGAACCGGGGGAACUGAAACAUCUAAG
RNAcentral lists this ribosomal RNA (205 nucleotides) under Klebsiella pneumoniae. RNAcentral's name for it is "partial 23S ribosomal RNA". It matches the Rfam family "Bacterial large subunit ribosomal RNA", at positions 1 to 206 of the family's 2925-position model. RNAcentral also lists the same sequence under 1 other name. Lineage: Bacteria; Pseudomonadati; Pseudomonadota; Gammaproteobacteria; Enterobacterales; Enterobacteriaceae. The record is from RNAcentral.